GUUAUAAAGUUCUUUCAUCAUAAGUGAUCUACGUCAGACUUCAAAAUAUAGGAACUUUCAUUACCGUUAAUCUAAUUCUUGUUCCUCAAUUCAAGUUGAUAGAGUUUUCUAGGAAGCACAUGGCGGAAUCAUGACCGUGACCAGAUCUAUCAGGAGAUCAAAGGUACACCGAUAGCUGAGGGUGUCCGUCUCCCCCGUCAUGGUGGAAACUCCCCUCUUCCUCAGACAAAUGCUCCGCUUGAGCAAGGCCAUGAAAACGUGCAACGAUCGAGCCAUCCUCGUGAUAUCCAUCGAAGGGAGGGAGGCAGACGUCGCCCGGCUGUCGGCGGCGCCAGGCUGGGCCGACGAGUCAGACUUGGAGGCUCAAAUGGCGGAAAUGUCUUUCGAGGACGUCGAGGCGAACCGACGGGAGGAAGUUGCCGGGGCAGUUGAGCAGCGACCAGAGGAGAUGGGACUCGAGGCAGUAAGCGACUCGAGGCAGUUGAGCAGGGACCAGAGGAGAAGCGACUCGAGGCAGUCGAGCAGGGACCAGAGGAGAAGCGACUCGAGGCAGUCGGGCAGGGACCAGAGGAGAAGCGACUCGAGGCAGUUGAGCAGGGACCAGAGGAGAAGCGACUCGAGGCAGUCGAGCAGGGACCAGAGGAGAAGCGACUCGAGGCAGUCGGGCAGGGACCAGAGGAGAAGCGACUCGAGGCAGUUGAGCAGCAGAACGUCUCGGUGCAGCCAGUAAGUAGAGUUUUUGUAUAUUACUUGUAUCAUUCCGUAGGUGAGAGGUUAACGCUUUACUAAUGUCUGUAAUUCUGUAUCUGUUUUCUUUCCUUGCAACUCUUAAUUCUAACUCAGCGAGAAGGUGGGGGAGGGGGGAUACACCUUAAAUAAUAUCCUGCGCGAAAUUCGAAACAUACUUGUAUCCACAUACAUAUUAGUGUUCCUUUGGGAGGACGGGUUGAAGGUUAUAGAGGGUAUUGAAUGUCUUCUCCCGUUGUAGAGCCGUUAUCCUAGUAGUUAUUCCAUAAAGAAUGAUAGGCCCUGCUAAAAAUGUUCCAUGUAGAUUCACGUGGAAAUGACCCGAUUUCCAUGUGAUUUCAUGGAAAUCGUCUGACUUCCAUGUCCUUCGACAUGGAAAUCAUAACGUUUCCAUGAAACUCACAUGGAAACCAAGUCAUUUCCAUCAAGUCUUCAUGGAAAUGAAAACAUUUCCUUGUGAGCUCGACAUGGAACUCAUAACACUUCCAUGCAACUCACACGGAAACCAAGUCAUUUCCAUCAAGCUUCAUGGAAAUGAAAACAUUUCCUUGUGAGCUCGACAUGGAACUCGUAACACUUCCAUGCAACUCACACGGAAACCAAGUCAUUUCCAUCAAGUCUUCAUGGAAUUGAAAAUGUCCUUCUCAGUUCGGCAUGGAAAUAAAACUUGCAGAUUUCAACAUGAAUUUCGCGGCAUUAAAAUCUUUCAAUUUUUGGGCAAUUCUAAACUGGACAUACACAACAUGCGAAAAUUACACAUUAGAGCGUGAGUGUUGCGUUUGAAGCAUAACUACGAUGUUGAAGGCGCUCCGCUAGGCGCGCGCCAACUCGCUCAGCUAUCGUUCUAAGUAGAGAUGCAAGAUUUCAUGAAACGCAUUAACAGAUGAAAUUUCGAUCAUUUUUGAAAACUACUGCCCAAUGGUCUCAUAUAUGUAUGACAUGAAACGAAAAAAUCUUAAUUUUGGAAAAAAAAUAAAGGGGGACGGGGGGACGAAAGAUGAGCCCCACACAUCAGACAAUUUGAGUCUUGGGUCAUAAGUUGAAUUUUUUUUGCGAAUGAAUAAUGUACUAUAUUUUGAAUUGAUUACUUAAAUUUUAAAAAUGGGUUAUAUACUUAUGUUGCCAUCCUCAGCAACAUUAAAUCUUGAUGGCUGAAGUAAAAAAAUAAUGGGCAUAUCAGGCGGUGCAACGUUUCAAAAAUCGCUAAUUAAAUUUUUUUAUGUUUAAAUCCAGGAAACAGAAAAAUCUGU
RNAcentral lists this long non-coding RNA (1997 nucleotides) under Bemisia tabaci. Its description in RNAcentral is "lncRNA ENSASIAIIG000844". The record is from RNAcentral. Lineage: Eukaryota; Metazoa; Arthropoda; Insecta; Hemiptera; Aleyrodidae.